AGAGUUUGAUCAUGGCUCAGGAUGAACGCUGGCGGCGUGCUUAGCACAUGCAAGUCGAACGAUGAUCCCAGCUUGCUGGGGGAUUAGUGGCGAACGGGUGAGUAACACGUGAGUAACCUGCCCUUAACUCUGGGAUAAGCCUGGGAAACUGGGUCUAAUACCGGAUAUGACUCCUCAUCGCAUGGUGGGGGGUGGAAAGCUUUAUUGUGGUUUUGGAUGGACUCGCGGCCUAUCAGCUUGUUGGUGAGGUAAUGGCUCACCAAGGCGACGACGGGUAGCCGGCCUGAGAGGGUGACCGGCCACACUGGGACUGAGACACGGCCCAGACUCCUACGGGAGGCAGCAGUGGGGAAUAUUGCACAAUGGGCGAAAGCCUGAUGCAGCGACGCCGCGUGAGGGAUGACGGCCUUCGGGUUGUAAACCUCUUUCAGUAGGGAAGAAGCGAAAGUGACGGUACCUGCAGAAGAAGCGCCGGCUAACUACGUGCCAGCAGCCGCGGUAAUACGUAGGGCGCAAGCGUUAUCCGGAAUUAUUGGGCGUAAAGAGCUCGUAGGCGGUUUGUCGCGUCUGCCGUGAAAGUCCGGGGCUCAACUCCGGAUCUGCGGUGGGUACGGGCAGACUAGAGUGAUGUAGGGGAGACUGGAAUUCCUGGUGUAGCGGUGAAAUGCGCAGAUAUCAGGAGGAACAACAGAAGCGAAGGCGGCUCUCUGGACUAUAUCUGACGCUGAGGCGCGAAAGCGUGGGGAGCAAACAGGAUUAGAUACCCCGGUAGUCC
This 775-nucleotide ribosomal RNA is filed under the name uncultured Arthrobacter sp. Its description in RNAcentral is "bacterial SSU rRNA". It matches the Rfam family "Bacterial small subunit ribosomal RNA", at positions 8 to 796 of the family's 1533-position model. Lineage: Bacteria; Bacillati; Actinomycetota; Actinomycetes; Micrococcales; Micrococcaceae. The record is from RNAcentral.